Molecule: ribosomal RNA, 365 nt
Filed under: uncultured eukaryote
Lineage: Eukaryota
Description: partial 18S ribosomal RNA
Rfam family: Eukaryotic small subunit ribosomal RNA
Source: RNAcentral
CAAUAGCGUAUAUUAACGUUGUUGCAGUUAAAAAGCUCGUAGUUGGAUUUCUGGAGGGAGCGUCGGCCCGUAUUUACGAGUGCGUGACGUCUCUGUCCAUCCUUGCGGGAAGGCACGGCAUUGAUUUGUUGUGUCGGAUCGCAUCAUUUACUGUGAAAAAAUUAGAGUGUUCAAAACAGGCUUUCGCUUGAAUACAUUAGCAUGGAAUAAUAAGAUAGGACUUUGGUGCUAUUUUGUUGGUUGAGCCUAAAGUAAUGAUUAAUAGGGAUAGUUGGGGGCACCUGUAUUGCGUUGUCAGAGGUGAAAUUCUUGGAUUUACGCAAGACAAACAGCUGCGAANGNGUCUGCNAAGGACGUUUNCAUUA